RNAcentral lists this ribosomal RNA (450 nucleotides) under uncultured bacterium. RNAcentral describes it as "partial 16S ribosomal RNA". It matches the Rfam family "Bacterial small subunit ribosomal RNA", at positions 354 to 796 of the family's 1533-position model. The record is from RNAcentral.
GUGGGGAAUCUUCCGCAAUGGACGAAAGUCUGACGGAGCAACGCCGCGUGAACGAUGACGGCCUUCGGGUUGUAAAGUUCUGUUAUACGGGACGAAUGGUACGACGGCCAAUACCCGUCGUAAGUGACGGUACCGUAAGAGAAAGCCACGGCUAACUACGUGCCAGCAGCCGCGGUAAUACGUAGGUGGCAAGCGUUGUCCGGAAUUAUUGGGCGUAAAGGGCGCGCAGGCGGCGUCGUAAGUCGGUCUUAAAAGUGCGGGGCUUAACCCCGUGAGGGGACCGAAACUGCGAUGCUAGAGUAUCGGAGAGGAAAGCGGAAUUCCUAGUGUAGCGGUGAAAUGCGUAGAUAUUAGGAGGAACACCAGUGGCGAAAGCGGCUUUCUGGACGACAACUGACGCUGAGGCGCGAAAGCCAGGGGAGCAAACGGGAUUAGAUACCCGGGUAGUCC